Molecule: ribosomal RNA, 301 nt
Filed under: uncultured bacterium
Lineage: Bacteria
Description: partial 16S ribosomal RNA
Rfam family: Bacterial small subunit ribosomal RNA
Source: RNAcentral
CAGCCGCCGCGGGAAUACAGAGGGUGCAAGCGUUAAUCGGAAUUACUGGGCGUAAAGCGCGCGUAGGUGGUUUGUUAAGUUGGAUGUGAAAGCCCCGGGCUCAACCUGGGAACUGCAUCCAAAACUGGCAAGCUAGAGUACGGUAGAGGGUGGUGGAAUUUCCUGUGUAGCGGUGAAAUGCGUAGAUAUAGGAAGGAACACCAGUGGCGAAGGCGACCACCUGGACUGAUACUGACACUGAGGUGCGAAAGCGUGGGGAGCAAACAGGAUUAGAUACCCCCGUAGUCCCUGUCUCUUAUAC